CCUCCGGUACACGGUCGCAGCUCCUCGUGUAGGCGCUACUAAAACCCGACCGUUACAGUAAGAUCACCGACCGUCGCCGCCUCGGGUCCGCCCGGCGACGUUUCUCCUUGAGGUGACCUUCUUUAGCUCCACAGUACCCGCCCAUUGCGGCAAGGGCACGGACCGUGGUGGUCUCUGCCCCGUCGGGCGACGCUUCUCAUCGAGGUGGUCCAACAGAGUGCUGCUUCCGGUACGUGACCGAGCUGCUCCACACUACGCGCCCGCACGGUAGGGGCACGGUCCGCGUCCGCUUCGACUCCGCCCGACGACGCCUCUCUCGAGGUGGUCCCACAACUCGCUGCCUCCGCUCGACCGUACCACCUCUGCCCCCGAGAGGUGGCUACGAAGGUGGAGCGAUGGCAACAGCAGAACGAAGGACCUAGAGGACGUUCGAGUGGUAAUAUCGGGUUCUUCGUUGCCACCACGGCCUCAACUCAGGUCAGUCAUUGUGAUCGCGAUCAAGGAAGGUACUAGGACAUCCGGCUCUCGACCCAGAGACCACUUCGACCUUAACUUCUUCGAAAGUGGACUUAAUCGGAUUUACACAGACAAGCAGUACAAACAAGAUUUGGUUGGAGACAAUAUCAGGUCCAUCUAUGUUAGAAACAAGUCAACAUCGGUUUCUUCUUCUCUACCAAUCAUUAAUUCUCAUCAUUAGUCAUGAAACAUCUUGAAACAUCAGGUACAUCUAUGUUAGAAAUAAGUCAACAUCGGUUUCUUCUUCUCUAGAAACAAGUCAACAUCAGCUUCUUCUUCUCCAUUUUGGGAUGUAGGACG
This 816-nucleotide ribosomal RNA is filed under the name Triticum aestivum (bread wheat). Its description in RNAcentral is "partial small subunit ribosomal RNA". The record is from RNAcentral. Lineage: Eukaryota; Viridiplantae; Streptophyta; Magnoliopsida; Poales; Poaceae.